This 595-nucleotide ribosomal RNA is filed under the name Halodaphnea panulirata. Its description in RNAcentral is "eukaryotic LSU rRNA". The stretch from base 196 to 349 matches the Rfam family "5.8S ribosomal RNA". The record is from RNAcentral. Lineage: Eukaryota; Oomycota; Peronosporomycetes; Pythiales; Haliphthoraceae.
GGAAGUAAAAGUCGUAACAAGGUUUCCGUAGGUGAACCUGCGGAAGGAUCAUUACCACACCAAAUAAAUGUCCACGUGAAUUGUAUUUUGUUCCAACAGCACAUUUUGUGUGUUGUUAGGAGAGUAAUCUCCUGUUUUUAUUAAACCCUUUUUUUUAAUUUUACUAAAUCUAGAUAAAUAAUCUAAUGAAAGAACAACUUUCAGCAGUGGAUGUCUAGGCUCGCACAUCGAUGAAGAACGCUGCGAACUGCGAUACGUAAUGCGAAUUGCACAAUUCAGUGAGUCAUCGAAAUUUUGAACGCAUAUUGCACUUUCGGGUAUUCCUGGAAGUAUGCUUGUAUCAGUGUCUGUACAAUUUGUCACUAUUAUUUUAAGUGGAUGUUGAUAGUCUAUUUUGUAUUGAAAUAGUCUAUUGAAAUGUACAUGAAUAGAUUGUAAAUGUAUUCAACCCCAUCGUGGUAGAUAUUGUAAUGAUAUAUGUUACUUUGGUAUGAGUAUAUAGUAUAAUCUAAUAAAUGGGAAAUUUAAUUUCUUUAUUGGACCUGAUAUCAAGUAAGAUUACCCGCUGAAUUUAAGCAUAUCAAUAAGCGGAGGA